Pan troglodytes (chimpanzee) is the source of this 1332-nucleotide long non-coding RNA. RefSeq lists it as uncharacterized. The transcript has 3 exons. Lineage: Eukaryota; Metazoa; Chordata; Mammalia; Primates; Hominidae. The record is from RefSeq and is a predicted model, not a curated record.
CUCAUUUGUGUAUGGACAGGGUGCCCCAACAACCCUCGGGCUGGUUUUUCCAAAUCCUUCAGAUACUUCCCCAGCUAUAAUUUGAGAGAGGAAGGCCCGCAUAUCUUAUUUCUUCUUUACACUCCAGGCUGUCUCCAUCAGAACCCUUUAAACAGUUUCAUCUUCCCACCAAAGGCUUGCUUCCCAGCAUAAUCCUUCCUAAGCCUAAAUCCAAUCUUUGGGGGGAAGCAGGGGGAGUCAGCGGGUAAUUAUUAAUACAUUUUAAGCAGCGAGCCUCCGUGGCAACGUGAAAGGAAAGCACCAAACGCCUGAAUAGCAAAAAUGCAGUUUCAGCAACACUUUUUGAAAAGGCGGCAGACAAGACCUGGGAGGAGAGGAAAGGAAGGGACAGGACGGCGUCUGGGGCGUGAGGGGAACAGGGGACGGCAGGCCUGCGAUCACGCUUCAGGGGAACCUCCUCCGUCACCCUGGCCCACGGGUGCUCAGCUCAGUCACACGGGGAAAAGUCCAGCUUGUGACUCGAAAUGGAGUCUCUCUACGUUGCCCAGGCUGCUGGUCUCAAACUCUCGGGCUCAAGCAAUCCUUCCCCUUCAGCCUCCUGAAGUGCUGGGAUUAUAGGCGUGAACUACCAUGCCUGGCUCACAAGAAAUGUUCUGCUUGUCUGCAUCCAAACACCAACAGCAGCGGUGGGAGCAUUUUCAUGCACAGGCCCAAGAAACAUGAAGAGGACACUUACCAUGCACCAGGCUCUGGGGUAGGCUCAAAGCAAAGGAAGCCGAGUCCUUAUCCCUGUGGAACAUACAUGAAGGGAAGGACAGGAAAUGAAUGUCAACAAAUAUAUUACCAAAAUAAACUGAGAAUCAUAAGUGCUACGCAGAAGAAGAAAGCAAAUAGCCGAGAGUCUCUGGUGGCUAAGGUACUUCACUAGGUGAAGUGGACAGAGAAGUAUUAUCUUGAACUAAGAUGUAAAUAAAGAAAAGCAAGCCAUGUGGAAUGUUCCAGGAAAGGAGCACUCCAGGCAGUGGGAACAUCAUGUGCAAAGGCCCUGAGGUAGGAGCAGCUUGGCAUACUCCAGGAACAGAGUGAAGGCCAGAGGAGCCAUAGCAAGAUGAGGGAGAGGAGCAAGGGCUGGCGAUGAUGUGGGAGAGCUAUGCAGGGGCCAGAUAAAGUGGGACAUGGGAAGGAAGUUUGGGUUUUUCUCCAAGCCUUUGUUACUCCUAAUGCGGUCCAGGAGCAGCAGCAACUGUAUGGCCUGGGAGCUUAUUAGAAACGCAGUCUUGAGCCCAACCCCAGAUAACUGAAUCACAAACUGCAUCUUAGCAAAAUUCCCAC